GGUAUUUUGACCGUGCAAAGGUAGCAUAAUCAUUAGUUUUUUAAUUGAAAGCUGGAAUGAAAGGUUGGAUGAGAAAAUAGCUGUCUCUAUUUAAAUUAUUUAGAAUUUUAUUUUUAAGUUAAAAAGCUUAAAUAAGGUUAAAAGACGAGAAGACCCUAUAGAGUUUUAUUUAUUUUUAUAAUAAAAUUUUUAGUAUUAAUAAAUUUUACUGUAAAAAUAAAUUUAAUUGGGGUGAUUGAAAAAUUUAAUAAACUUUUUUUAUAUUAAAUCAUUAAUUUAUGAGUAAAUGAUCCUUUUUUAGAGAUUAAAAGAUUAAAUUACCUUAGGGAUAACAGCGUAAUUUUCCUAAAGAGUUCAAAUCGAAAGGAAAGAUUGCGACCUCGAUGUUGGAUUAAAAUAAAAUUUUGGUGUAGAAGCUAAAAUAUUUAGGUCUGUUCGACCUUUAAAAUUUU
Molecule: ribosomal RNA, 452 nt
Filed under: Pseudomeira obscurella
Lineage: Eukaryota; Metazoa; Arthropoda; Insecta; Coleoptera; Curculionidae
Description: partial 16S ribosomal RNA
Rfam family: Bacterial large subunit ribosomal RNA (bases 328-452)
Source: RNAcentral